RNAcentral lists this long non-coding RNA (475 nucleotides) under Lathyrus oleraceus (garden pea). RNAcentral describes it as "Pisum sativum (pea) long non-coding RNA (PSAT_LNC012726)". Lineage: Eukaryota; Viridiplantae; Streptophyta; Magnoliopsida; Fabales; Fabaceae. The record is from RNAcentral.
UUAAAUUAAAUAUUAGUUAGCUUUUUUUAUGAUUUGUUAUUUAAAUGAAUAAUAAUUAUGGAAAAAAUAUAUAUUUACAUUGGAUCCUGCCACCUCACCUCACACUGCACUCUUUUUCCCUCACGAAUAUUCUUUCCACUCACAAUCCACUCACAACAACAAAUUCACUCAGUCUCUCCACACACUACCUCACACUCACCUCUCCAACAAAAAGAAAUAAGAAAACAAAAAGACUUUUCCUCUUCACAUUCCUCACUCUCUCACACGCAUCUCACCCUUUCUCAUCCACCUCUCUGAAAACGAAGAAAGAAAAGAAAAAAUCAUGUUCAUCGUCCUCUUCAUUCGCCAUCUACGAUCCUUCCACCGCUAAAUCCGCCGUAUGACCACUCUCUCAUCUCUCACCACUUCACCUUUCCCAGCAAACACCGGUCACCACACAACGCCACUCUCAAAAAACCCAUCAACUACACGAAAC